AUGGGCAAUGUGUCCUGUUCAGA
This 23-nucleotide microRNA is filed under the name Haemonchus contortus (barber pole worm). RNAcentral's name for it is "hco-miR-5896". Lineage: Eukaryota; Metazoa; Nematoda; Chromadorea; Rhabditida; Trichostrongylidae. The record is from miRBase by way of RNAcentral.